Molecule: ribosomal RNA, 802 nt
Filed under: uncultured eukaryote
Lineage: Eukaryota
Description: bacterial SSU rRNA
Rfam family: Eukaryotic small subunit ribosomal RNA
Source: RNAcentral
UGGAGUCAGAGUGAGCUCAGCCGGUCGGCUCCAUGGGUCAGAACUGGUCGACUCUCUCUUGUUUGUGGAUCCCGCCCGGAGUUAACUCUUCGGGAUGUGGAGUUCACAUCGUUUACCUUGAAAAAAUUAGAGUGUUCAAAGCAGGCGUUUGCUUGAAUAUAUUAGCAUGGAAUAAUGGAAUAGGACCCUGGUUCUAUUUUGUUGGUUUUGAGAACCAGAGUAAUGAUUAAUAGGGAUAGUUGGGGGCAUUCAUAUUUCAUUGUCAGAGGUGAAAUUCUUGGAUUUAUGAAAGAUGAACUUCUGCGAAAGCUUUGCCAAGGAUGUUUUCAUUAAUCAAGAACGAAAGUUAGGGGAUCGAAGACGAUCAGAUACCGUCGUAGUCUUUAACCAUAAAACUAUGCCGACUAGGGGAUUGGGCGUGGGUUUGUUCAUUUGACCCGCUCAGCACCUUACGAGAAAACAAAGUCUUUGGGUUCCGGGGGGGAGUAUGGUCGCAGGGUUGAAACUUAAAGGAAUUGACGGAAGGGCACCACCCAGGAGGGGGAGGCCUGCGGGUUUAAUUUUGACUCCACACGGGGAAAACUUACCAGGGCCCAGACAUAGUAAGGAUUGGCAAGAUUGAGAGCUUCUUUCUUUGAUUCUAUGGGUGGUGGUGCAUGGGCCGUUCUUAGGUGGGGGAGUGAUUUGUCUUGGUUAAUUCCCGAUAACGAACGAGACCUUUAACCUACUAAAUAGUUACGCCGAUACUUUUUGUAUUCGGGGAACAAAUUUCCUUAGAGGGACUAUCCGUGGUUCAACCGGG